This 73-nucleotide transfer RNA is filed under the name Vermiviatum covidum. RNAcentral describes it as "tRNA-Cys". Lineage: Eukaryota; Metazoa; Platyhelminthes; Tricladida; Geoplanidae. The record is from RNAcentral.
UCAAAUUUCGUAUAAUAAGUAUAAUUAAUUGCAGAUUAAUUGGUAAAAUAAUUUUAGAUAAUUUUAAUUUGUU